UCUUUUACAGGAAGUAGUUAUUUUUCUGUUACGAUACCUGUGCCACUAUCAUCUACGGGACAGCCCAGGUCCCUAAAUCUGUCUACGAGGAUAAUGAGACCAUCGCCAUGCACGAGGCUGCAGAGAUCAGAGAGGAGAAGAGGAAGGAAGCGAAGCUUCUGGGGGUGGACAGAGAGGGAGACAUCUUCAGCCUGUCUCAGCUGGUCAGCAUCUGAACAUCCCUGGCCCUCCACUGAACCUCUCCACCUCAAGCUCUGCAAGAUGCAGCCUCCAGACAUCCACUGUAGAGACCUGCCUACAGGGGGCAGAAGCAGUGUGUGAGAAAGAUGCUUAAGUCUGGAGCCAGCCCCAGCAUCAAGAAUGAGCAACCAAACCGUUUUUGACCUGGCCUGCAGUGAGGAGAUUAAGCAGAUUCUGGUGGGCAGUCAUGACAAGAGUGCCAGUUUUCUGGGAUGGCAUUCCUAUUGGGUGGUCAUUCAAACGGAGUUAUAUUCUGGUAUCCAAGACAGUGAGUCUUUAAGCUACUUCCACCCUUACUUCCCUAUCCCUCCCUCCCUAUUGGAUACACAGCAACCUGCUCCUCUUUUCCCCUGAAGAGCCUGAGGCAGUGCAGGGAUAUC
This 620-nucleotide long non-coding RNA is filed under the name Oncorhynchus kisutch (coho salmon). RNAcentral describes it as "lncRNA (ENSOKIG00005045604.1)". The record is from RNAcentral. Lineage: Eukaryota; Metazoa; Chordata; Actinopteri; Salmoniformes; Salmonidae.